AGAGUUUGAUCCUGGCUCAGGACGAACGCUGGCGGCGUGCUUAACACAUGCAAGUCGAACGGAAAGGCCCUUCGGGGUACUCGAGUGGCGAACGGGUGAGUAACACGUGGGUGAUCUGCCCUGCACUUUGGGAUAAGCCUGGGAAACUGGGUCUAAUACCGAAUAGGACCACGCGCUUCAUGGUGUGUGGUGGAAAGCUUUUGCGGUGUGGGAUGGGCCCGCGGCCUAUCAGCUUGUUGGUGGGGUAAUGGCCUACCAAGGCGACGACGGGUAGCCGGCCUGAGAGGGUGACCGGCCACACUGGGACUGAGAUACGGCCCAGACUCCUACGGGAGGCAGCAGUGGGGAAUAUUGCACAAUGGGCGCAAGCCUGAUGCAGCGACGCCGCGUGAGGGAUGACGGCCUUCGGGUUGUAAACCUCUUUCAAUAGGGACGAAGCGCAAGUGACGGUACCUAUAGAAGAAGCACCGGCCAACUACGUGCCAGCAGCCGCGGUAAUACGUAGGGUGCGAGCGUUGUCCGGAAUUACUGGGCGUAAAGAGCUCGUAGGUGGUUUGUCGCGUUGUUCGUGAAAACUCACAGCUUAACUGUGGGCGUGCGGGCGAUACGGGCAGACUAGAGUACUGCAGGGGAGACUGGAAUUCCUGGUGUAGCGGUGGAAUGCGCAGAUAUCAGGAGGAACACCGGUGGCGAAGGCGGGUCUCUGGGCAGUAACUGACGCUGAGGAGCGAAAGCGUGGGGAGCGAACAGGAUUAGAUACCCCGGUAGUCCAA
Molecule: ribosomal RNA, 773 nt
Filed under: uncultured bacterium
Lineage: Bacteria
Description: bacterial SSU rRNA
Rfam family: Bacterial small subunit ribosomal RNA
Source: RNAcentral